Molecule: ribosomal RNA, 999 nt
Filed under: Pristimantis cajanuma
Lineage: Eukaryota; Metazoa; Chordata; Amphibia; Anura; Strabomantidae
Description: partial large subunit ribosomal RNA
Rfam family: Bacterial large subunit ribosomal RNA
Source: RNAcentral
ACCACAAUCAACCCCAAUACUUUAGAGUAAUUCAAAUGAGGUACAGCCCAUUUGACACAGGAUACAACCUUCACUUACGGGUAAGACCUAAUUCACACCUUAAAGUGGGCCUAAAAGCAGCCACCUUUUAAAAAGCGUCAAAGCUUGACCCUGAGCACAUUAAUUCAAAAACCUAUAUUAACCCCUUCAACUGUACUGAGAACUUCUAUAAUCCAUAUAGAACCUUUUAUGCUAAAACUAGUAACAAGAGGAAACCCCUCUCAUAAUGCAAACAUAGGCCAGCAAGAACCCAUCACUGACAAUUAACAACCAUAAACAAAAGUAGCAACCUCACUAGAAAACCCUACUUCAACCAACUGUUAACCUAACACCAGAGCAUUUCAAGAAAGAUUAAAAGAAAAAGAAGGAACUCGGCAAAUCCAGAGUCCCGCCUGUUUACCAAAAACAUCGCCUCUUGCUUCCAAUAAGAGGUCCAACCUGCCCAGUGACCCUGUUCAACGGCCGCGGUAUCCUAACCGUGCGAAGGUAGCGUAAUCACUUGUUUUCUAAAUAAAGACCUGUAUGAAAGGUUUAACGAGGACUAAACUGUCUCCUUUUUCUAAUCAGUGAACCUAAUCUCCCCGUGAAAAAGCGGGGAUUCCCAUAUAAGACGAGAAGACCCUAUGGAGCUUAAAACAUCAUGACACCUGCCACCCAUCUUUAACUACCUUAGUAUCCCUCAACGGCACCUUGAUUUUAUGUUUUUGGUUGGGGUGACCGCGGAGAAAACCCCAUCCUCCGCAAUGAAAGGGGCCUCCCCUUAACAAUAAGUUACAACUUUAUGUAUCAAUAAGUUGACAUCCAUUGACCCAAUAAAUUGAUUAAUGAACCAAGUUACCCUAGGGAUAACAGCGCAAUCCACUUUGAGAGUCCCUAUCGACAAGUGGGCUUACGACCUCGAUGUUGGAUCGGGAUAUCCUAGUGGUGCAGCCGCUACUAAGGGUUCGUUUGUUCAACGAU